Molecule: ribosomal RNA, 497 nt
Filed under: uncultured bacterium
Lineage: Bacteria
Description: partial 16S ribosomal RNA
Rfam family: Bacterial small subunit ribosomal RNA
Source: RNAcentral
GAUGAACGCUGGCGGCGUGCCUAAUACAUGCAAGUCGAGCGAACAGACGAGGAGCUUGCUCCUCUGACGUUAGCGGCGGACGGGUGAGUAACACGUGGAUAACCUACCUAUAAGACUUGGAUAACUUCGGGAAACCGGAGCUAAUACCGGAUAAUAUAUUGAACCGCAUGGUUCAAUAGUGAAAGACGGUUUUGCUGUCACUUAUAGAUGGAUCCGCGCCGCAUUAGCUAGUUGGUAAGGUAACGGCUUACCAAGGCGACGAUGCGUAGCCGACCUGAGAGGGUGAUCGGCCACACUGGAACUGAGACACGGUCCAGACUCCUACGGGAGGCAGCAGUAGGGAAUAUUCCGCAAUGGGCGCAAGCCUGACGGAGCAACGCCGCGUGAGUGAUGAAGGUCUUCGGAUCGUAAAACUCUGUUAUUAGGGAAGAACAAAUGUGUAAGUAACUAUGCACGUCUUGACGGUACCUAAUCAGAAAGCCACGGCUAACUACGUG